This 468-nucleotide ribosomal RNA is filed under the name uncultured bacterium. RNAcentral describes it as "partial 16S ribosomal RNA". It matches the Rfam family "Bacterial small subunit ribosomal RNA", at positions 28 to 507 of the family's 1533-position model. The record is from RNAcentral.
GACGAACGCUGGCGGCGUGCUUAACACAUGCAAGUCGAACGGAAAGGCCCUGCUUUUGUGGGGUGCUCGAGUGGCGAACGGGUGAGUAACACGUGAGUAACCUGCCCUUGACUUUGGGAUAACUUCAGGAAACUGGGGCUAAUACCCGAUAGGAGCUCCUGCUGCAUGGUGGGGGUUGGAAAGUUUCGGCGGUUGGGGAUGGACUCGCGGCUUAUCAGCUUGUUGGUGGGGUAGUGGCUUACCAAGGCUUUGACGGGUAGCCGGCCUGAGAGGGUGACCGGCCACAUUGGGACUGAGAUAGGGCCCAGACUCCUACGGUAGGCAGCAGUGGGGAAUAUUGCACAGUGGGCGCAAGCCUGAUGCAGCAACGCCGCGUGCGUGAUGACGGCCUGCGGGUUGUAAACCGCUUUCGCCUGUGACGAAGCGUGAGUGACGGUAAUGGAUAAAGAAGCACCGGCUAACUACGUG